CGAAGGGGCUAGCGUUACUCGGAAUUACUGGGCGUAAAGGGCGCGUAGGCGGCUUGGUAAGUCAGGCGUGAAAUUCCCGGGCUCAACCUGGGGACUGCGCUUGAGACUGCUGGGCUAGAGGAUGGAAGAGGGUCGUGGAAUUCCCAGUGUAGAGGUGAAAUUCGUAGAUAUUGGGAAGAACACCGGUGGCGAAGGCGGCGACCUGGUCCAUUACUGACGCUGAGGCGCGACAGCGUGGGGAGCAAACAGGAUU
Molecule: ribosomal RNA, 253 nt
Filed under: uncultured bacterium
Lineage: Bacteria
Description: partial 16S ribosomal RNA
Rfam family: Bacterial small subunit ribosomal RNA
Source: RNAcentral